GAGUUUGAUCAUGGCUCAGAUUGAACGCUGGCGGCAUGCCUAACACAUGCAAGUCGAACGGUAACAGGUCUUCGGAUGCUGACGAGUGGCGGACGGGUGAGUAAUGCGUAGGAAUCUGUCUUUUAGUGGGGGACAACCCAGGGAAACUUGGGCUAAUACCGCAUGAGCCCUGAGGGGGAAAGCGGGGGAUCUUCGGACCUCGCGCUAAGAGAGGAGCCUACGUCCGAUUAGCUAGUUGGCGGGGUAAAGGCCCACCAAGGCGACGAUCGGUAGCUGGUCUGAGAGGACGACCAGCCACACUGGGACUGAGACACGGCCCAGACUCCUACGGGAGGCAGCAGUGGGGAAUUUUUCGCAAUGGGGGCAACCCUGACGAAGCAAUGCCGCGUGGAUGAAGAAGGCCUUCGGGUUGUAAAGUCCUUUCGUGGGGGACGAAAAGGUGGGUUCUAAUACAAUCUGCUAUUGACGUGAAUCCAAGAAGAAGCACCGGCUAACUCCGUGCCAGCAGCCGCGGUAAUACGGGGGGUGCAAGCGUUAAUCGGAAUCACUGGGCGUAAAGGGUGCGUAGGCGGUACGUUAGGUCUGUCGUGAAAUCCCCGGGCUCACCUGGGAAUGGCGGUAGAAACCGG
This 629-nucleotide ribosomal RNA is filed under the name uncultured bacterium. Its description in RNAcentral is "bacterial SSU rRNA". It matches the Rfam family "Bacterial small subunit ribosomal RNA", at positions 9 to 636 of the family's 1533-position model. The record is from RNAcentral.